UUUUUAUAGUUCCCACCUUUUGUUCACAAUAUAAAUUCCAUCACCCCCCUAACCAACAUACUCAAAAACCUUGAAUUGUGCAUGUGCUUCUCCUCUUUUCAUCAUUGACAUUUGCAAGUUGUCUAUUUUUCACUUUUAUUUCUAGAAUAAACCAUUUGUGGUUGUGAAAUCAAAAUAUACACAAAAAUGGGAGUUGGAGGAACUCUAGAGUACUUAUCUGAUCUAAUGGGUAGUGACCACCACCACCAACACAAGAUCAAGAAGAAGAAGAAGCAAUUGCAGACUGUAGAAUUGAAGGUGAGGAUGGAUUGUGAUGGUUGUGAGCUUAAAGUCAAGAAAGCCCUUUCUUCAAUAAAUGGAGUGAAAUCAGUGGAGAUAAACAGGAAACAGCAAAAAGUGACAGUAAUGGGGUAUGUGGAGGCAAAUAAGGUGCUAAAGAAGGCUAAGUCAACAGGGAAGAAAGCAGAGAUUUGGCCUUAUGUGCCAUACAACAUGGUGGCUCAUCCUUAUGCUGCUCCUUCUUAUGACAAGAAGGCUCCUCCUGGAUAUGUGAGGAGAUUGGAGACUACUGGAAUUGUUACGACAUAUGAAGAGCCGCGCAUCACCACCAUGUUCAGUGAUGAAAAUCCAAAUGCCUGUUCCAUUAUGUAGAUGAUAGGGAAAAUUAUAAAAAAAAAGGAAAAAAAGUUUUUGUUUUAGCACAGUUAUGUAGAUUUUCUAGUUUUAACUUAGUGUAGUAAGUUCUUCUGUCAAAAUAAACAUGUACUAGGUUCUUUUGUUUUACUUUGUAAACCCUCUGUCACUCUGUGUUGUGUGUUCUCAGCAAUCAAAAGAAACAGUUGUACCGUUGUCAAAAUGAGGCGAAAACAGUGAGAUAUAUCUUUGGGUUU
Molecule: RNA transcript, 890 nt
Organism: Trifolium pratense (red clover)
Lineage: Eukaryota; Viridiplantae; Streptophyta; Magnoliopsida; Fabales; Fabaceae
Gene name: heavy metal-associated isoprenylated plant protein 23-like
Exons: 3
Source: RefSeq, a predicted model, not a curated record